RNAcentral lists this ribosomal RNA (589 nucleotides) under Babesia cf. microti. Its description in RNAcentral is "SSU rRNA". It matches the Rfam family "Eukaryotic small subunit ribosomal RNA", at positions 469 to 1079 of the family's 1831-position model. The record is from RNAcentral. Lineage: Eukaryota; Apicomplexa; Aconoidasida; Piroplasmida; Babesiidae.
GACAAGAAAUAACAAUACAGGGCUUAUAGUCUUGUAAUUGGAAUGAUGGGAAUCUAAACCCUUCCCAGAGUAUCAAUUGGAGGGCAAGUCUGGUGCCAGCAGCCGCGGUAAUUCCAGCUCCAAUAGCGUAUAUUAAAGUUGUUGCAGUUAAGAAGCUCGUAGUUGAAUUUCUGCCUUAUCAUUAAUUUCGCUUCCGAACGUAAUUUUAUUGAUUUGGCAUCUUCUGGAUUAUAUAUUAUUUUUAAUAUAUUUUUCCAGUAUUUUACUUUGAGAAAACUAGAGUGUUUCAAACAGGCUUUUGCCUUGAAUACUACAGCAUGGAAUAAUGAAGUAGGACUAUUGGUUCUAUUUUGUUGGUUAUCGAACCAUAGUAAUGGUUAAUAGGAGCAGUUGGGGGCAUUCGUAUUUAACUGUCAGAGGUGAAAUUCUUAGAUUUGUUAAAGACGAACUACUGCGAAAGCAUUUGCCAAGGAUGUUUUCAUUAAUCAAGAACGAAAGUUAGGGGAUCGAAGACGAUCAGAUACCGUCGUAGUCCUAACCAUAAACUAUGCCGACUAGAGAUUGGAGGUCGUCAGUUUAAACGACUCCU